RNAcentral lists this long non-coding RNA (1196 nucleotides) under Nicotiana benthamiana. Its description in RNAcentral is "long non-coding RNA (NBEN_LNC028162)". The record is from RNAcentral. Lineage: Eukaryota; Viridiplantae; Streptophyta; Magnoliopsida; Solanales; Solanaceae.
UCAUACUUAUUUGAUUUAAAUUAGUACACAGUUCCAUAAUUAACAUACUACUAUAAUUCUUUUCUGAUUUUCUCCCUAUUUUCAAACUAUAAGUACAUUGCUCUUUUAUUAGCACAUACAUGAAUACUUUUUAAUUUUGAACCCUCACCUACACUCAAACACUAUCUUUGGCUUUACUACUUGUGUUGUGGCCUGUUUAGCUGGCUCAAAGCCAAAGCUAUACUUCAAGUCCUGCUACCUUUCUUUACUGUAUUUUGCUUCUUGGAAUUGGAAUGUUCUAGUUAACCCUUUAGCACCAACAACAACAUGAUUACUUAAUUUUCUUGAAUUCUUGUCUGCAUACUGCUUCUAUCUAUUUCAGUACAUUUACUUAGCAUGUUGCAAUUUCCUUGCUCAUAUUCUGAAUCAAUACAUUAUGAAUCCUAAACCUCAACCCUAAUGUGUUUGAUGCUUGUGGUUUGUUUGGGACAUGGCAGCAUCAAAUAUUGUUGAACAUGACUCAAACGUGAUCCUCCUAGGAUCAUGACCUCCAGGGUAUCUUUAUAUGUUGUGUGUUCUAAUUGAUUUACAAGCAUGACAACACCUCUAUUGUUGUAUAUGCCCAGAAACGACUCUUGCCUAAGUACAUAGCCUUUUUGCAAUUCCCAACCCCUGAACCCCUUUAGUGUAAAAUUAUCAACUUGUUUUGCAAUUCCCAACCCCUGAACCUCUAUUGUUGUAUAUGCCCAGCACCUCUUUCCAUCUUCUUUACUUCAUUAGUUCUUAAAGCUCUGUUUCUGUACUUGUACUCUCUCUUAGACUUAAGUCUUGCCCCCCUUAUGUGAGCCUUGUCUUGGGACCCAUGAGUUCCCUCUGAACUUGGACACAUGAGGACGGCACUUCCUUAUUACACUUGUUCCUAUUCUGGUGAUGUAAUUUGGGCGUGAACACUGCCCGGAAUCCUAUUGAGACUCUUAGGGAACUCUAACAUACUCAGAGUUUGAGAAAAACUUUGAAACACAUGGCAUUUGAGGGUGAUUUAGGCUUGAAAGUAUUAAAAAGUGAGUUCUUCUUUGAAGAUGUAGUGGUAGAUGAGGCAUUAUAAGUGUGUGAGUAUAAAAUCAAAGGCUUUAUAGGAAACUUGAGUGUUACUAUUUUGAGAGAUAGAUAUGAAAGAUUUUAUAUCGAUUUGUAUGGAUUCUGAGUGGGAUUGUGUA